UCCUCAUCUCCUCUAACCGCCAACUGCAAAUGCCUUGGAGUUAUCCUCUUCACUUUCAAAUCCUUGUUAGUGUUUUCGGCCAACUGAAGAACCUCAGUAGUUAGGCAUUCAAGGAUUGAAGUCGUGUAGACAACAUCAGUCGCACCAACAGUACCAUGUGCAGAAACUCUGGUCUUAAGUUGCUUGUGAAUACGAGCCACUGGAAACUGAAAGAAACAAAGAAACAAUAUCAGUAUAAAAUUUCAUCAAAUUAGACUACAAAAAAUGAAAUUUCUUUGUUUAUUUCAAUUUCUAGUGGGUCGUAUUCACAUACAACUCAAGACUAGAGUAUCUACAACAUGGUCUACUUGGUGCUAUUGUUGUUGACUACACGCCUUCAAUCCUAAAGUGCCUAAUUUCAUAGGUUAUUGAGUUACUUAGAAACACAAGCAAUGAUAAGAAAAUGAAGAGGAUUACUCCAAUGCAUUGAUAGUUGGUGAUCGCAGGAGAUAAGGA
This is a non-coding RNA of Arabidopsis thaliana (thale cress), 495 nucleotides long. RefSeq annotates it as microRNA ath-MIR841b precursor. The transcript has a single exon. NCBI's taxonomy places the organism in Eukaryota, Viridiplantae, Streptophyta, Magnoliopsida, Brassicales, Brassicaceae. The record is from RefSeq.